UUUUUCCACACCCAUAUGGCCAAAUAAUGUCAACAAAAAAAAAUAACAACUAGCAUACAACCAUUAAUUUCCAUUAAAUAUAUACAUAGCAUUGAGAACAUGGAUCUGCAUGCAUCAUCAUGUUAAAUGCAUGGCAUCAGCUCACCUGUUUUUGAUAGUUGUAUGCUUUACUGGUAUCUUGCAGAACCAAAAGGAUGAAUGAACUUAUGUGGACUUGAUCUGCAAGAAACAUGCAGUGAGCAAACAUAAACUGCUGCCAGCAAAACUAAUUUGCAUUUAAGUACAUGAUUGGGCAUCUCCCAUCUAAUCUACAUGUAAGCAUGUGAUUGGAUGAGUACUAACCUCCCACAUGACCAAUAUUUUGACUGAUAGUGCAAAACGGCAGUCAACAGACCCGUGGGAAAAUGAGCACAGAAAUCAAGAUGACAAACACAUGUACUCUGGGAGCAGAUGUUUAUCCUGCUGUGUGGAACUUUUGUCUCCCCUUCAGGCAGUGAGAGCAGUUAACGUUGUCGACGUGUGCUUAUGACGUUCAGAAAUACAGAAACUUUUCCACAGUUCCAAGACAAUAAUCCAGUAUUUUGGUAGAAAUUCGGAGGUCGGAGCUGGGAAUGACGUUCCAGUUAACAGGUCGGAAAAUCUCACUCGACCAGCUGUUGUUUCCAACUAGCCAGCCAUCUUGGACCACAAAGUUGGGGUAGUGCAGUUUCCCGCGAUGGCAGUUUGUGGAGCUCUCGCCCUGACUGAGUUGCUCCCCCCUUCAGCUCUGGUAAACCAAUCACCACUGGUUGAUUGUCACCACUGUCAUCAUAGACACCAGGGGCGAGUUCAGCCCUCACAAAAGGUAGCAAGUAGUUUUUUUUUUUGUUUUUUUGUUUUUUUUAUUUCAACAGAAACAUUGGUGCCUCAACUACCCUGUAGUGUAGUAAGUGCACUGCAUUUUCCUGCCCCUUUUAUCACCGUUGUUUACAAACUUGUCACAGCUGAUUGGGUUACACCUGUGACACACACAACCAAACGGUAGAAAACAUACCUCGAAGCCCGUUGUGGAACGUUGCAAGGAAACGUGGUGUUCAAUCCGAAAACAUUGCAAACUAGUGCAAAACGUUUUGAGAUUUACCUCGCCCCAGAUUUAAGACCUCUGGUAUACUGCAAAUAGACUUACCUGGCAGUGAUAGGCUUAAUCAGCUGUGUGUGUGUACUAGCUUGAAUGUAAAACACAUUUAUUUAUCUGUAAAGGUCCCGUACUCCAACUUUAAUAUUACAACACAUUAAAGCAGUUGACAAGUGCCUGCUGAAAUACAGGUAAAAGGAUGAAGCCAGAUGCGCUAAACUCAAAAAACUAAGGUUGUAAGCUGAAAGAACAUUCUGUGAUCUCAAAAAUAAGUGUGCUCUGUCUUCACUAAAAACAUGAAUGUUUAACAGCAGAAACAGCUGAAUCUAAAAAGCUUACUUGUUAAAAUACUUUUUGUCAACCCACAAAUUAUAGACAUGGUGCAGUUAAUCUAAACCAUGUGGUUAAGGACUAAUUAAUUAUGUUGAUUUCC
Long non-coding RNA from Micropterus salmoides (largemouth bass), 1547 nucleotides. RefSeq lists it as uncharacterized. The transcript has 3 exons. Lineage: Eukaryota; Metazoa; Chordata; Actinopteri; Centrarchiformes; Centrarchidae. The record is from RefSeq and is a predicted model, not a curated record.